UUUUUCUUUCUUCACAAUUAUUAUUUAUGUAAUUUAAUUUGCAGACUUACAAGGAUGAGCACUCAAAGUCAACUGCUUACAGACGCCUGCCCGCGCACACCUUUAUAGGCAUGUGAUGCAGGUAGGCCGAUGGCCUGGCAAAGCGAUUAAAAAGACAUUGAGGCUAGCCAACAGGUAGUUAGCCUGUCGGCCUGGACAUGCAGGCGCGUGUCGGUGUGCGCGCGACCCGUCGCAACGGCCGUGGCCCACGGUGCCAAAAGCUUUCUAAUGGCAACGGCAACUUUGGUAAAGCUUUGAUUUGAAACUUGGCUGCGAGAGCGUGUGAGAAAGAGAGCGAUAGAGCGAGAGAGAGAGGAAGGAAGACAGAGCCGCGCGCAGCUCUGCUGCGCUGCGAUAAGCGCAGUUGGCUUUUCUGCUUUGUGUUCACGAUUCUAAACAAAGCCCAACGCAUUUGCUCUUAAGUCAUGUGUGCGCGAUUGCCUUUGACGCGAGGCAGCUCCCGUCACGUACGAUCUUAGGCAGACUUUGGCGUCUCUUUGCACACACACACACACACACACAUGCAAAUGUGCAUAUAUGCAUAAGCGCAUCCAAUGGAUGCAAAUGCUUGCAUCCCACUGCCCAGAGACCCCCUCCCAGAGACCAAUGCCAAUGCCAAUUGCGUUUUAAUUUCAAGAUUUGUGACAGCGUCAACUUUAUCACGAGCAAGUCAAAUGCAUGCUCCAACGUUGAGUCACGCGCUGAGGCUCAUUAUAGAUGUGUGUGUGUGUGUGUGUGUGUGUAAAGCUCCCCUUUUUAGCAAAUUGGGGCACACGCAAAUGAGCUGCAGAUCUGGCUGACAAUGGAGGAGAGAGGGGAGAGAGGGAGGCAGAGAGGUAGCCACAAUCAGGUCUUACAAAUUGUGUCAGUGUGUCAUGUUUGACUCUUGUUUCAUUUUGUUGUUGUUGUUGUUGUUUUAUUUUUUCUCUGAGACGCGAGCUCUCGUCAAAUGUGCAGGUAAAUGCAAAUAACACAAGGAAGUCAAGCAAAUAAAGCGAAAAGCAAAAA
Drosophila arizonae is the source of this 1047-nucleotide long non-coding RNA. The record is from RefSeq and is a predicted model, not a curated record. NCBI's taxonomy places the organism in Eukaryota, Metazoa, Arthropoda, Insecta, Diptera, Drosophilidae.